UACGGAGGGGGCUAGCGUUGUUCGGAAUUACUGGGCGUAAAGCGCACGUAGGCGGCUUUGUAAGUUAGAGGUGAAAAGCCCAGGGCUUAACCCUGGAAUUGCCUUUAAGACUGCAUCGCUAGAAUCGUGGAGAGGUGAGUGGAAUUCCGAGUGUAGAGGUGAAAUUCGUAGAUAUUCGGAAGAACACCAGUGGCGAAGGCGACUCACUGGACACGUAUUGACGCUGAGGUGCGAAAAGCGUGGGGAGCAAACA
This 253-nucleotide ribosomal RNA is filed under the name uncultured bacterium. RNAcentral describes it as "partial 16S ribosomal RNA". It matches the Rfam family "Bacterial small subunit ribosomal RNA", at positions 524 to 774 of the family's 1533-position model. The record is from RNAcentral.